This 105-nucleotide transfer RNA is filed under the name Pseudozyma flocculosa. It matches the Rfam family "tRNA". Rfam says of the family: Transfer RNA (tRNA) molecules are approximately 80 nucleotides in length. Lineage: Eukaryota; Fungi; Basidiomycota; Ustilaginomycetes; Ustilaginales; Ustilaginaceae. RNAcentral also lists the same sequence under 1 other name. The record is from Rfam by way of RNAcentral.
GCAGUCUUAGUAUAGUGGUUAGUACGAGUCGUUGUGGCUCUUGCUGCGUCCCUUCGUCGGGAUGGUGGUUCCGACUAGACGGAUGUUCGAUUCCUCCAGAUUGCA